Molecule: ribosomal RNA, 456 nt
Filed under: Triticum aestivum (bread wheat)
Lineage: Eukaryota; Viridiplantae; Streptophyta; Magnoliopsida; Poales; Poaceae
Description: partial small subunit ribosomal RNA
Source: RNAcentral
AUGGGCGACAGCGGUUGUGGCACGCAGUGGCAGUCCUCGUCGGCCAUCGUGGCGCGAGCUGCGCAAGUGUAUGGCUCGCACAUUUUGAAGAUUGAUGGGUACUCCCGAACCAAGGGGCUGGGCACCGGCAAAUGCAUCACGUCUGAGAUCUUCCAGAUCGGGGGCCAUCGCUGGUGUAUGAAGUACUACCCGGAUGGCUACACAGGCUACAAUAACUCAAUAUCCAUCAGUCUAUGUCUUGAUCAGGCUGAGGUCAAUGAAGUUCGAGCACGAUACAAGAUUAGUUUGCUUGAUCAGGAUGGGAACCAAGCAUGUUACACUUUCUCCAAAGAACAUGGCCCACAGGUUUGCUAUAAUCUCAUCAGUAGGAAGGACUUAGAGGAGUCGGUCUACCUCAAAGAUGAUAUUUUCAGCGUCAGGUGUGAUAUCACUAUUCCAAAGGAGAUCUUCACAUAG